RNAcentral lists this ribosomal RNA (406 nucleotides) under uncultured bacterium. RNAcentral's name for it is "partial 16S ribosomal RNA". It matches the Rfam family "Bacterial small subunit ribosomal RNA", at positions 29 to 526 of the family's 1533-position model. The record is from RNAcentral.
AUUGAACGCUGGCGGCAGGCCUAACACAUGCAAGUCGCACGAGUGGCGGACGGGUGCGUAAUGUCUGGGAAACUGCCCGAUGGAGGGGGAUAACUACUGGAAACGGUAGCUAAUACCGCCUACCAUCGUAUGUGCCCAGAUGGGAUUAGCUAGUAGGUGGGGUAACGGCUCACCUAGGCGACGAUCCCUAGCUGGUCUGAGAGGCUGACCAGCAACACUGGAAAUGAGACACGGUCCAGACUCCGACGGGAGGCAGCAGUGGGGAAGAUGGCACAAGGGGCGCAAGCCUGAUGCAGCCAGGCCGCGUGUAUGAAGAAGGCCUUCGGGUUGUAAAGUACGUUCAGCGAGGAGGCGUUACUCGCAGAAGAAGCACCGGCUAACUCCGUGCCAGCAGCCGCGGUAAUUC